AGGGGCGAAAAAUACCACAGGGACAAUCAAACUCAUAUAUCAAAGAUAAACUGACAAAACUAUGGAUAGAAAAGAUAACGACAAACAGACAAACAAUAGUACACAGGAAACAACAUAUAAAACUAAAGACUAAGCAACCCCACUACAAAAUGAGGGUGAUAUCAGGUGCUCCAGAAGGGUAAGCAGAUCCUGCAUAACAGGUGGCACCUGAUUAAUAG
RNAcentral lists this long non-coding RNA (218 nucleotides) under Mytilus galloprovincialis (Mediterranean mussel). Lineage: Eukaryota; Metazoa; Mollusca; Bivalvia; Mytilida; Mytilidae. The record is from RNAcentral.